RNAcentral lists this unclassified non-coding RNA (3111 nucleotides) under Ooceraea biroi (clonal raider ant). RNAcentral's name for it is "uncharacterized LOC105277942, transcript variant X9". Lineage: Eukaryota; Metazoa; Arthropoda; Insecta; Hymenoptera; Formicidae. The record is from RNAcentral.
GCAAUAUCAUUGUUAUAUGACUGUGUUUGCUGGGUAUUAUCUAAAAUAUCUUCCAAGAUAAUAUAUAGCCAAUACAAUAUCUUUGUGCCUUCCCAUAUACGUUUGUAUAAACAAUUGGAAAGUACCCUUUAGUGUGAAGAAUCUGGUAUUACUACGCUAGGCUUUACUUUUCAAUAUGGCAGAAUCUACGAAGACGGCAGUCGUACACGCAUAACUAUCGUCUCAAAACGUGAACAGUGUCAAGAUUUUGUGAAUGUGAACAAAAGAUACACCACGUGGCAACCGCGUGUAACAAAGGAUAUAUCACGUGACAACUUAUAACGAAGUACACCUCCUUUUGUAUCAUUAUUUUUAUAUUUGGCAAUGGUACAACGAUUUCGCUUACAAAAAUUUAUUUUAAAAAUAAACAGAUUUAUGUUACUGGUAAAAAAUACUUGAAUAUUAAGUCAUUUUUUCACAUUCCAUGUGACUCUUUAACUAUUGGAAUUAAACAAAUUAACGAGUUACAAUAUGAGCUAAUAACUGUUCCAUUGUCUAAUAUUAAAUCAAAAUGUGUAAAACUGCCUUUAUGUGACAAAGAAGCUGUAGUAUUGCCUUUACUACACCAACAAGAAAUAUGUUUAUGAUUAUUAAUAAUGGCGAAAAAUUUCGCUGUCGUAACUUUUACAAGCGAUGGGAAUAAUGAAGAGGAGAUUGUAUCAGAAGUUCCAUCUUUAUGGCUUUCUCCCAAUUUAAUACAAUGCUGGUGGCCAACGGUAAAAAAUAUAAAUACGUUUAUCGCAAAACAAAUUCCAUCUGUUACUAAUGAUCCUAAAUGGUCACUUCAUCCCAUUAAAUUUCAUGGAUAUUAUGAUUCAUUAGAUCAAGCUAGACAGAGAGCAACGAACUAUUCUUCAAGCGAAGAAAGCAAUAUAAAUAAAAUAAAGAAGUCACGCACAAAACAAUUACCAAAAAUUGUUUCUAACAAUGAGUCUGAAUCUGAUUGUAAUGUCUCACCUUCAAUUAUAUCAAAUCCACCAAAUCUUACAGAUAAAAAUAUCCUACAAUUAGUCGAUAAAAUAUCAAAUAUUUUUAAUUCAUCAGUUAUAAAUGAUAUUAACAUGGAGGCUCUUGAGGGAAUUAUAGUAUCACACAAAAGCAUACAGGACGUACAUACAUUAGUAUCAGAAAUGUUCGAUAAAAUGGAAGAUCAUUUUAAAAAAUUAUAUACAGCUGUAACUACAGUUUCAUUAGAAAUACAAGAUCUAAAUGUUCGUUUAACAAACAUAGAAAAACAAAAUAAUCAACAUAAGCCUGAAGUAUCUGGUAUGGAUAUAUCAAAUAUGCGACGAUCUUUUCCGUUUCAAAGUAUUGAUGAAGUCAUAGCUUUUGAAAACAGUUCACAAAUUACAGAUGAGUACAACAAAUUUGUGUUGUAUAUAUCUCGCAUAGGUGGAAGGUCCGCUAAGGAAACUUUAAUUCGUAUAUACCGAACUUUAUUUUCCAAUGAAGUUGCCAAAGUAUCGUCUUGGAAAGGAUUACGCAAUCAUUUAAAAAUCAGUAGCUUAAAGUCUAUAUUAAUGGGAAUACAAGCAACAAUUUCGGAUCAACAUCAAUUCACAAACAAAGAGUUUGAAGAUAUCACAAAAGAAUGGUUCCGCCAAGGUGGUCAGAGGCUUAACAGACAACAAAAAGACACCGAAGAAAUUUUGGUGUUCUAAAUUCGAAACACUACACCCCUAACAGCACAUGAUAUCAUUCGAAUAUUCUAUACACAUACUGUGAAUGUACGUACUGAACAUAAUAUACUGAGAACAUCCCUACAAUAUCUCUUAUAGUAUAUUAUUUCUUGUAUAUUCUCAGAAUAUACUUUUAAUAUCUUUUUCAGUAUAUUAUGUUUCGUAUAUUCUUCAUAUAUUCUUAGAAUAUACUUUCGAGUUAUGCAGAUAGUAGCGCAUUUUACGUCAUUUCCGAUAUUGCCGGUACCAGUUUUCUUGAUUGUCGCCUGAUACCGCAUGGUUUUUGGUUGGUCUCUAAGAAUUAUCGACGAAUUUAGAGUUCGUACAUAAGUGUUCUUUAACAUAUUAAGAACAUAAUUUGAAACGCGCUUAUUAAAUAUACUGGAUAGCGUAGUGGACUAGAACGAGGGCUGUGGAGCUCAACGACGCAGGUUCAAAUCCCGUGUGAGGUAAGUGGAAAUUUUAAUUAACAAAAUGUAUAUAGUAUACAUAUAUAUCAAAUAGCAAAGCUCAGGAGUAAAUAUAGUAAGAAUAUAUUAAUUGAUAAAUAGGUAAAAAUUAAUUUUUUUAUAUAUAUUUUUAAUCUAGCCCAGGCUAGCUCAUUACUAGACAAAUAUAUUUGUCUAGUGGCUAGGACUUCUAAAUGGCUCAGUACUAGCUACGUUUGCUAGACGGGGGCUACAAUAUAAAUAAUAUAUAAAAUAUAUAAUAUAAAACACGUAUCGGCUAGCUAGUGACUGCGGCUACCGACUAGGUUAAAUUUCCACUCGGGAUACUGGAAACGUUCUAUUAAUAUACUAUCAAUAUACUGAAAGAUAUUCGCAGUAUAUACUAUGAACUAGGAAAAAGUGGACAUUAGAUCAUUCUCAGUAUGUACUCAGUAUAUCGUGGUACGUAUCUCGAAUGUUCUGAGAAUAUUCGCAACAUACUUUUGCGAUAUUCUCCGAACAUUCUUAAUAUCUACAUGUGCUGUUAGGGACUGUCUAUUUUUAUUAUGAGUUAAGUUCUUAACAUCGUUAUUUGAAUUAAAUAUUUCUUUUAAGAGAAUUAGCAGAAUGAAUAUACAUUUUGAUAUUUGUAAUUCUUCCUUCGACAACUUUUUAAUUACAAACAGUAUAAUAUUGUAUAACAUUAUUGCUUUUUCCAAUAAUAUCGAAUUACUUGCAUUUCCAUUUUCGUUUAAAUUAGAUACAAUGUGUAUUUUUGUUUAAAUUAGAUUGUUUAAAUUAGAACUCUAACGGUACACCUAUGUAUUUUUGACGCAUAUUAUUAAUUAUACAUGAAUAAAAGUAUACACUUUAACGUGUAUGUUCAUGAAAAGAUCAUUGAUGUAAAAAUUAUAGUUCUCAUGCGAGGAGAAGUCUAGUAAAACUUACUUCUUAUUAACGUACAG